This is a long non-coding RNA of Erpetoichthys calabaricus (reedfish), 857 nucleotides long. RefSeq lists it as uncharacterized. The transcript has 2 exons. The record is from RefSeq and is a predicted model, not a curated record. NCBI's taxonomy places the organism in Eukaryota, Metazoa, Chordata, Cladistia, Polypteriformes, Polypteridae.
AAAGACUUCUAUGAAAUGUUCGGCAGCUCAGGUUUGAAUUAACAGAUUAGGAAUAUAACGCUGAUGCAUUGUUGCUGUUGUGCUACUGCUUCAAACACGUCAGCUGGAAAUAAAAAAACAGAAGGAAUUUCACCCUAAAAAUAGGAGUGAACCUAAUGGUUGGCCAUGAAAUAAAUAAAUAAAAAAUAAAUACUGACCAGUACAGAGCGGCACUUGAAAUCGGACUCAGUUUUAGCCUUUCGCUCGAUAUUACCGUGAUUUGUACUUAAAAUAAACUAUUACCACCUGUUUCAUUGCGACAUUCAAUCUUCCCAGCAAAACUAAAAUUCUCUCGAUCGGCUAAAAGCCUUCUAGUGGGGGCCAGUCUGAGUUGGCGCCUUCCAUCGUCCCCACCCCCCUCCUGAUCCAGUCCGAAAUAUAAACUUAUGUUUAUCUAGCCAAGUCCCACUUCGGCGAUUGGAAAGCAAGACGUUGGACCGUGCUAGUGUAAAACGUAUGGAAAAAAGUGGAAAAAUGGAAGAAGGAAGAUCUGCCAACCAACAACCUAAAACUUUUCUCAUCUGGUCUAUUCUUAACCUCCUAUGUUGCUGUUUCCCGUUGGGUCUCGCUGCUGUGAUUUGCUCCAUGAGGGUGGAGAAUGCGAACUCUGUGGGAGACGCAUCACGAGCAAAGGAGGCGUCUCGAAUAGCCAGAGCCCUCAAUAUCACCGGCUGUGUCCUGGGAGCUUUGAUUGUUAUAAUCGGUGUUGCCUUGUAUAUUUUUGUCCUGUCAAAGCAGCACUAGCUGUUCACAAUAAGGCGUUUAUAUGCUCCAGAUGGCUUUACGCUGCAGCAGCUUGGUUUAUAUCUUUAUUAUGU